This is a long non-coding RNA of Lolium perenne, 942 nucleotides long. RefSeq lists it as uncharacterized. The record is from RefSeq and is a predicted model, not a curated record. NCBI's taxonomy places the organism in Eukaryota, Viridiplantae, Streptophyta, Magnoliopsida, Poales, Poaceae.
CUCAGCUUGCAAAAUGAGCUUAAACACGUUCGUACGUCAAAGUCGAAGCUCGGCAACAGCUAGCAGAUUAGCCUCGCUCCGAGUGCUUUACCCGUAGUUCGUCGACAGGUGGUGCUCCUGCUCCACGCUAUUCAGCAAGAUAUUGAGAAGGACACUAAUGUUUUCAGAAUCGACGGCGAUAGCUAGUUUACCAGGAUCGCAGCUCCCUGCAACGCCGCCGGCGCCUGAAUCCUAGCGCAAUCAGCUGUUGCCGCCGCUCGCCGACGCGCCGCCGAAUCAGCUCUCCGCUUCCGCAUCCAUUUCCGCACCGCGCCCGGCUCGCCCGCGUCCUCCAGGUGGUCGCUCGCACCUCUCGCCACGUGCACUGCACCGGCACCACCCAGGAUCUCCCAUUCCGAACCGCCGUGCCGUCGAGCGCGAGUUCCUGCCUUCCUGGUCGAGAAGAAGCCGCCGGGCCACAUUUUCCAAUACACCUACCUACGCCGUCCAGCGCGAGUUCCAGAUUGAUCUGAAAAGGCGGAAGAAGCAAUUGCUUUGACAGAAACCAUCCCCGAUGAGGAGUCACACUGUUUAUGGAGUCAGCUCACCGUUGAUAGUGCACAAGAGGAGAAGCUAGGCUAUUGAACUGUAGGGCUGAAGUUAUGUUCUACUGUUGUGUCUUGGGAGUGUAUCCUGCAAUCUAGGCGUCUGCAAGGGGAAAGAAGUUGGGAAAUGCAGGCUCGUUUGCUCUUGUGAUAGUAGCCCUUGUGUGGUGGCGUGUAAUACUGUCAGCUUGUGUUGUUAGCAUGUUCCCAGGAAACUUUAAUUCUCCCAUGUGUAUUUUUGUUGUUUCAGUAAUCCUGCAAUAACUCCUUCUGCUUUAAUCUGAAGGAAGAAGGAUGGGUUUCAUAUCUACUGUUUGUUGAGAACUUUCUCUAGGUUUAUUUAUGUCACAUUGUUAUA